AGUGAACGCUGGCGGUAGGCCUAACACAUGCAAGUCGAACGGCAGCACAGGAGAGCUUGCUCUCUGGGUGGCGAGUGGCGGACGGGUGAGGAAUACAUCGGAAUCUACUUUUCGUGGGGGAUAACGUAGGGAAACUUACGCUAAUACCGCAUACGACCUACGGGUGAAAGCAGGGGAUCUUCGGACCUUGCGCGAUUGAAUGAGCCGAUGUCGGAUUAGCUAGUUGGCGGGGUAAAGGCCCACCAAGGCGACGAUCCGUAGCUGGUCUGAGAGGAUGAUCGGCCACACUGGAACUGAGACACGGUCCAGACUCCUACGGGAGGCAGCAGUGGGGAAUAUUGGACAAUGGGCGCAAGCCUGAUCCCGCCAUACCGCGUGGGUGAAGAAGGCCUUCGGGUUGUAAAGCCCUUUUGUUGGGAAAGAAAUCCAGCUGGUUAAUACCCGGUUGGGAUGACGGUACCCAAAGAAUAAGCACCGGCUAACUUCGUGCCAGCCGCCGCCGUAA
Molecule: ribosomal RNA, 505 nt
Filed under: uncultured bacterium
Lineage: Bacteria
Description: partial 16S ribosomal RNA
Rfam family: Bacterial small subunit ribosomal RNA
Source: RNAcentral